UACGGAGGGUGCAAGCGUUGUUCGGAAUUACUGGGCGUAAAGCGCGUGUAGGCGGCUUUCUAAGUCUGGUGUGAAAGCCCGGGGCUCAACCCCGGAAGAGCAUUGGAUACUGGGAAGCUGGAGUACCGGAGAGGAGGGUGGAAUUCCUGGUGUAGCGGUGAAAUGCGUAGAUAUCAGGAGGAACACCGGUGGCGAAGGCGGCCCUCUGGACGGAUACUGACGCUGAGACGCGAAAGCGUGGGGAGCAAACAGG
This 253-nucleotide ribosomal RNA is filed under the name uncultured bacterium. RNAcentral's name for it is "partial 16S ribosomal RNA". It matches the Rfam family "Bacterial small subunit ribosomal RNA", at positions 524 to 776 of the family's 1533-position model. The record is from RNAcentral.